UACGUAGGUGGCAAGCGUUGUUCGGAAUUAUUGGGCGUAAAGGGCGCGUAGGCGGUUCGUUAAGUCAGUUGUGAAAGCCCGGGGCUCAACCCCGGAGAGUCGACUGAUACUGGCGGGCUAGAGUACGGAAGAGGUAGCUGGAAUUCCCGGUGUAGCGGUGAAAUGCGUAGAUAUCGAGAGGAACACCUGCGGCGAAGGCGGGUUGCUGGGCUGACACUGACGCUGAUGCGCGAAAGCUAGGGGAGCGAACGGG
RNAcentral lists this ribosomal RNA (253 nucleotides) under uncultured bacterium. RNAcentral describes it as "partial 16S ribosomal RNA". It matches the Rfam family "Bacterial small subunit ribosomal RNA", at positions 524 to 776 of the family's 1533-position model. The record is from RNAcentral.